GAUGAACGCUGGCGGCGUGCUUAAACACAUGCAAGUCGAACGGUGAAGGAGGAGCUUGCUCUUCUGGAUCAGUGGCGAACGGGUGAGUAACACGUGAGCAAUCUGCCCUUGACUCUGGGAUAACAGUUGGAAACAGCUGCUAAUACCGGAUACGAGACGUGACCGCAUGGUCAACGUCUGGAAAGAACUUCGGUCAAGGAUGAGCUCACGGCCUAUCAGCUAGUUGGUGAGGUAAUGGCUCACCAAGGCGACGACGGGUAGCCGGCCUGAGAGGGUGGACGGCCACACUGGAACUGAGACACGGUCCAGACUCCUACGGGAGGCAGCAGUGGGGAAUAUUGCACAAUGGGGGAAACCCUGAUGCAGCGACGCCGCGUGAGCGAAGAAGGCCUUCGGUCGUAAGCGUCUCGUCCUACGGGUAAGGAAGGAAGGACGGUACCGUUACGGAGGGUAAGGACCCCGGGCCGUAACCGUAACCGUACGUCCGACGCCGACGCCCGCCGGGUAACGGACGGUAACGUCCGUUA
RNAcentral lists this ribosomal RNA (527 nucleotides) under uncultured bacterium. RNAcentral's name for it is "bacterial SSU rRNA". It matches the Rfam family "Bacterial small subunit ribosomal RNA", at positions 33 to 541 of the family's 1533-position model. The record is from RNAcentral.